GAGGUGGGGGGGGCUGCGCCCGGCCAGAGCAAUUAGCCCAGCGCCGGGCCUGGAGCGACUGGGACUUGCAGUGUCCCGGCCUUGAUUGCAAUCACUGUGCGGGGGUGGGGGGAGGGGAAACAGAAAGGGAGCGGUAACUGGGCUGACGGAGGAUAACUGCCAUUAUUAAGCACCGCGGGCUGGCCAGGAGCAGUCACCGCCUCUUCCUUCCCGAGGGGGCAGCCGAGGCACACGGGAUACAAGCAUGUGUCCUGGAAUUGUGGAAGAGGCAGAGCUGGGAUACGAACCUGGGACAUGUGGCUCCUGGCCCGCACUGCGCCAGGAUGAGGAAAACGUGCAACACUUUCCUCCACCGUAAAAAUGGUUGGACUUAGGAAAACUAAUGACUAAUAUGUCCACCUCCUAGCAAAUGUUUGGAAUGAACAUGAGAAAUUGCUGCUACAAACAUUCUUGUACAGGUUUUAUGUGAACGGAAGUUGUUCUCUCUCUAGGAUAAAUAUCUAGGAGUAUGAUUGCUGAGUUAUAAGAUCAGUUUGGAGUGAAUUGACACCAUUACUGCGCUGCGUCUUCCAAUCCGGCUGUCGGAAACAAAGCUGCAGUGAACAGGCAUACACAAUGGACAGAUGUGUGGGGACGCAGCCGUCUUUCCCCUUCCUUUUGGCGGUGCUGUUCUGUCGGCCUGUGUUGCAUGUGUGAACUAGGAGGAAGGACUAGCAUUCUCGGCCAGAAAUCUCGCCAUCACAGGUAAUAAUAUAUAGUUGGCUCCUUUUUGGCUAAUUGAUUGACAGCAUCCAUGAAGGAAAGAGAAAAAUAGUAUAUGAGUCAGGGCUUUACAGUUUGCAGCAUAGUUUCAUUAACAUGAUUUUAUGUCAUCUUUUUAUUGUCAUGAACUAUACAGAACACAAAAUUUACCAUUUUAGCCAUUUUUAAGUGUACAGUUCAGUGGCAUCAGGCACAUUCACGUUGUCGCACAACCCAAACUGAACUCCGUACCCAUUAAACAAUAAUCUCCCAGUCCCGUGUCCCCAACGCCUGGCCAUCACCGUCCUAUUUGCCAUCUCUAUGAAUUUGACUAGUUGGGUACCUCACACAGUGGAAGCAUAGAAUAUUGGCCCUUUUGUGUCUAGUUUAUUUCACUUGGCAUCAUGUCUUCAUGGUUCGUCUAUGGCGUAGCAUUUGUCGAUUUUCCUUUCUUUUUAAGGAAUAAUAUUCCACUGUAUGGAUAUACCCCAUUUUCUUUAUCCAUUACAUCCAUUGAUGGACGCAUGGGCUGUUUCCACCUCUUGGCUAUUGUGAAUAAUGCAUAAUGCUGCCAUGGACACGGGUGUCCAAAUAUUUGUUCAAGUCCCUGCCUUUAAUUCUUUAGUGUAUCUACUCAGAAUUGGAAUUCUUGGCUAAUAGGAUAAUGUUAUGUCUAAUUUUUGAGGAACUGCUAUCCCGUCUCCACAAUUGCCGUACCAUUUUACGUCCCCACCACCAACACGCAAGAGUUCUGGUCUCUGCACAUCCUCACUGGUACU
Long non-coding RNA from Neofelis nebulosa (Clouded leopard), 1520 nucleotides. RefSeq lists it as uncharacterized. NCBI's taxonomy places the organism in Eukaryota, Metazoa, Chordata, Mammalia, Carnivora, Felidae. The transcript is spliced from 7 exons. The record is from RefSeq and is a predicted model, not a curated record.